GGCAGCAGAAGUGGGGCCCAGUGCAGAGGCUGGCCAGAGGCUCAAAGCCGACCUGGACGUCUCUGUGGGCCUCAAGCCUCCUUGGCCCUGUCUCUGCCUCCAUUUCCUGCCUCCAUUGGCCUCUGGCCUCUGACUGUGGUGGGCCUCUUUGGGCCUCCUUCCAGGAGGAUCAUUUUCCCUCAGCCUAGACCCCAUCUCCUCUCCUGGGAGCCCCUUGUGGCCCUUCCUACAAGGACUGUGACAUUUUAGUCUGAUGGCAAAACAUUUCCUGUGCGAAGCUGUCCAGGGCCCCAGGAGGUAGUGGGCCAUGGGGAAGGAAAUGAGGGGGUCAAUAUGGCGGAACUUCCUGUGGCCACGGAGCCCUCAGUGAGGCCUCUGAGUCCACGAGGCUACUCAGGCUGCACAGUGUGGGGUGAGGGGGCCCAGGGACACAGGACGAGCUGUGGCAUUGAGAGGAUUUCUGCUUAGUUUCUAUAAUGUGGAUUUUAGGGUUUCAAAACCACAUCUGACCCUCAUUUAACUUUUUUUGGGGGGGAAGGAGAUACUAGGGAUUUAAUCCAGGGGUGCUGGGGUGCUCUACCACUGAGCCACAACCCCAGCUCAUCACCACCCCCACUUUGUUUGAGGUAGGG
RNAcentral lists this long non-coding RNA (632 nucleotides) under Marmota monax (woodchuck). The record is from RNAcentral. Lineage: Eukaryota; Metazoa; Chordata; Mammalia; Rodentia; Sciuridae.